GAGUAGAAAACAAAGUAAAACAUCAAAGAGGUUAAAAAACAAGGGGACCAAACACAUGCAGAGCAGGUUAGAGAUGAUGAAAACUGGAAUUCAAAAGCCUCAAAAAAAAAAAAAAAAAGUAGGCGCAAAACACAUGCAGAGCAAAAUACAGAAUAUGAAAGCAGAAAAAAAUGACAGUGUCCAAACAAAGACAGUAAAAUUCGCAUUAGCGCAAAGAAAUAGAAAUUAUUACUCGGAAAAAUAACGAAAAGGCAAAUAGAGAUCGAAUAUAUGGACAUAGGUGAUAUGUCAGAAGUAUGUAAAUAUUGCUUUGAAGGUUAAGUCAGAGAAUUUCAAAAAUGUGUUUUACCUCACAUGCAUUUAUUGGUUACUUUGCAAAAAAAAAUAAAUUUAGCUGCUGAUGACGUAGAUUGCAUUUUCUGUGCUGAAAUUCCAAACAGAGAAACUUAUCCUGAAUUAUGGUACAAAGUCAUUAAACACAUGUAUCACUGACCUCAUUUAAAAGAUUCAGCAUAUUGGAACUCGAAAGAUUCCAAAUACUGUUUUUACAUAUGUUCUGAAAGAAAAGUGAAACUAAUGAAAUGGCAACAAUUCAAAGAAAAAAAAAUCUUAAAAGUGUGUAUCCAGAAAACCAAACACGGGGGUUGGCGAGCGAAGAGAGCAGGGGGCAAAGCCCCCUAGUAAUUAAAUAAAAGAAAGUAACGUGCUACAGCAGCACACCUUGCGGAAUGGGUUUAAAAAUCAAGGGAGCAACAGAGCUCUAGUGCUGAAGUGUUUCCCCUGAAUGAACAGCGCAAAAUUAAACUGACCCGCAGGGAAAAAUAAUUGCAGACCCCAUCUUGAUGCGUUAAAUGUUUAACUAGCUACAUUAGAGGUUUUAACCUGUAGAAAAAAAUAAACGUGACACCCCUACUUCAUGCCCACCAGUUUACAGUUUAUAUUUAUUAAUGUUUCCAUAAUGUAGAAGCAAGAUACUUCACGAACAUUCUUUGUAUCAACUCGUGUGGCAGGCCUUCAAGUGAUUGGCUAAAUUAGCCCCUUUAGUUGAUAUUGUACUGUACCAAAUCUUGCAUACAGGCUUGCAUUUAUCUUGUGGUUUUCCCAUCCCCAUUUGCUACAAGGCUAAAGUAUUUUCAGAAGCCACCAUGGCUGCCCUCUUUGUUAAUGAAGCAUGGUGGUGAAUGCUCCGAUGCUGCUAAAGGAGCCAUCUUAUUUACACUGGUGAGUAAGGGGAAACAGGCCUGCAUCUCUAACCAUGCUGUUUAAUAGUCCUAUGAGGUUCAAUUGUCAAAAGCCAGAGUGAACCGGAAGCACAUUUGUAAUGUAGGCUGUAGAAUCAAUACAUGAAAAAUGAGUAUUGAAGUAAUUUAAAAGUGUUAAAAUCAUUACUUGUUCUUAUUCUUCUUUCGGCAGCUCCCGUUAGGGGUUGCCACAGCGGAUCAUCUUGUCUGCAUAUUGAUUUGGAAAAAUUUUACAUCGGAUGCCCUUGCUGACGUAACCCUCCCAAUUUAUCCGGGCUUGGGACCGAAACAAAUAAAAACACACUGGUUUGUGCAUCCCCUGUGGCUGGGUUAAAAUCAUUACUUAUUGAUAUUAGUUUAAAACUAGAAGUUUAAACCCAGUCCUGCGACUGGGUUAAACAUGAGACUUUGUGCCAAGAGAUUGACCCAGGACUAUCUCGCGAUGACGUAGAACAUGAGAUUCUUGCAAGACACGCCCUACUUACAACCAAUAUCAAAUAAGACAGCGGGCAGCAAAACAUUCAGUCAUCUAAAGGAUUUGAGCACACACAGAUCCAGGGUCUCAGCACAUAUAAAGCGUAUAAGGACAAUAUAUUAUAAAUGAAAUGUCGAUGACUAAGCAAAGAUGAAAGCAUCGCGGAGAAGAAGCGUUGGAGAGGAAAAAAGAGCAAAAAAGAAAAAGAAUAAUCUAGGUGCAAAUUCAGAAAAUAAGGAGUAAUUAUCAGCCCGGAACAAAUGGAAUUGAAAAAAAGCACGUCAAAUCGGGCUCAGAAUUUAAAGACAGAUAGUAAAAGACAAAGUAGAACUUCAUAAAGACGUUCACAAACGUUGGUGCUGUACACACGCAGAGCAGGUUAGAGAUUAUGAAAGCAGUGGAAUUCGAAAGGCUCAAAAAAAAAAAAAAAACGGCGCGAUACACAUGUGGAGAAAGUUAAAGAAUAUGAAAGUAGGGAAAUUAGAAAGUAUAAAAAAAAAAGAAAGUGAAGAUCGCAGUUGCGCAAACAAACGGAAAUUAUUACUCGAAAAAGGGAAAAUAAUCACCAUGGACCAGGUGUCAUUGGAAAAAAAAAGCAGAACAAAGCAAGGUCAGAAAUAAAAGACAGAGUAGAAAACAAAGUAAAACAUCAUAAAGAGGUUAAAAAACAAGGGGGCCAAACACAUGCAGAACAGGUUAGAGAUGAUGAAAACUGGAAUUCAAAAGACUCAAAAAAACCCAAAAAAAAACCGUAGGCACGAUACACAUGCUGAGCAAGAUACAGAAUAUGAAAGCAGAAAAAAACGACAGUAUCAAAACAAAGACAGUAAACAUCGCAUUAGCGCAAAAAAAGAAAAAUUAUUAACUUAAAGCCGAAUAGAGAUAGAAUAUAUGGACAUAGGUGAUAUGUCAGACGUAUGUAAAUAUUGAAAGGCUUUGAAGUUUAAGUCCAAAAACGGGGUUUACCUCACAUGCAUUUAUUGGUUACUUUGCUGAUGAUGUAGAUCGUUUUGUCUGUACUAAAAUUCCAAACAGAGAAACCUAUCCUGAAUUAUGGUACAAAGUCAUUAAACACAUGUCUCACUGACCUCAUUUAAAAGAUUCAGCAUAUUGGGACUCCAAAGAUUCCAAAUAUUGUUUUUACAGAAGUUCUGAAAUAAAAGUGAAACUAAUGAAAUAGCAACAAUUCAGAGAAAAAAAAAUCUUAAUAGUGUGUAUCCGGAUAACCAAACACGGGGGUUGGUGAGUUAAGGGAGCAGGGGGCGAAGCCCCCUAGUCUUUCAAAAAAUACUGUGCCAGUGACCUAUUUAUGUAUCUGUUCACAGUGCAGCCAAAAUGUAAUAAUAAAGCUUAAUGUGGGUAUGCUUGUUUGUUCUUUAUACAAUUCCACACCUUUGAUCCAAUCUCAACCAAACUUUGCACACAUAUCCCACAUUAUUAGGAAGUGAAAAUAGAUUACUUUGUAGCUCAGACUUUUGACUCUGGGGGUACCUGAGUUGAGGGUGGGAUUUUGACUUCUGAGAAAUUAUUUAACUUAUUUCAGGGCUCAAAAUCCAGGAAAAGGUUCUGUCCUAUAUUCAAGCAAAGUGAUUUGUAACACGUAAUUAUUGUGUGAUAGAAAAAUAUUUAUUUUUGAAUUGUAGCAGUAUUAAUUCUUUUUUUGUCAUAACUACGCCUCCUAACUGCAUUUGGCAAAGUGUGUUCUGCUGCCAGAUAGAGGUUAGAUAGCUCUGCCUUAUAAUGACUUACCUAGGCAAUACCAGGUCCUGCUGCUAGUACUUAAUAAAGAUUACUGUGCUAUAAGCAAUUGAUUUUGCUAAUAUGGGUGUUACUCUGUGUGAGUUUAAAACAUUAAAUCACCCUAAACAUUAAAGGAAACAUUGUUUGUGUAUUUAAGUUGUAUAACAGUUUAUAUGUAAUCCAGAAAAGUUAGAACUUUGUGUGUGCACAUUUCUCUGUUACCAAGAUUUUUGUAAAUUUGUGUUUUUCAAUUUGAAAACAUUUUUGAGAUUGGUUGUACAACUAAACUUGAUCAUAACUUAUCUGUCAAUCUAUUUUCUAACCUGCUUAUUCAGUCCAUGGUUGUGGGGAGCUGGUGUUUAUUUCAGAUAUAUAUGGCUAAUUACCAUAUUUUAUUAUGCUAUUAUAGGGAAUCUUAAUGUAUUUAAUUGGAAUUAUGUGCCAUGAAUAAACAAAACAUAUAUUUAAUCAUAAUUCUUUGCCAUGCAUAAACAAAACCUCCAUAAUGUGAAAUUAAAAUGUAUAUUGUACAGAGCUAUCCAUUUCUACAUUACCAAGUUGCCUAAUCCAUUUUGGAGGUGUCAUUGAAAAUGUUUCUCCAGAAGGCAUUGACACAAUGCAGGGACCAAGUAAAGGAGCCAGUCCAUCAGAGGGCACACUUCAACACAAACUCUCCCUCACACAUGCAGAGCUAAUUUAGACUUGACAAGUCGGACUUUGAAAUUAAAUUAUAGUCACAAAUCUUUACUGCUAAGUUACUAGCACUUUUCUACUUCUGUACAAAGCAAAAGUUGCCAAGUCUGCAUUUAUUUACAGUUGUGCCAUGUCAUCAUUUAUUAGGUGUUCUACUACAGGUGAAAAAGGCAGAAAAAAACCGAAACAUUCCAAUGAAGAUCAAACAAACAUAUUCAAAUAAAAGUGCUGAGAUCAAAACCAGGAGAUUGAAAGUACCAAAAUAUCAAAACCCACCACAUAACCAGUGCCUAAAGCUGAAAAAACAUGCAAGCCUGGAUUCCAAAAAUCCUUUUUAUUUGUUUACACCACACAAGACUGUUUGUUGAGUUCCAAGUCUUGGAUGCCAGAAGGACUUACACAUCAUAGUGUGAAACUUCCAGGGAUUCCAUUGCAGCAGUGGAGACCUGUUUCUAACAACAGAAGAGACAAAAUGGCAGCACCCAUGGUAAAACAAAAUAGUGCCAAAAAUAUAAAUAAACAUGUUAAAUAUUUAUAACUCAUAAUAAAUGGAACAAAACCUAUCAAAAAGGUACAAAAGUAAAUGAAGGUUUCUACAUAUAAUCUUCAUUUACUUUUAUAUCUCAGAAUAUUACUUUAUCAUGAGAUUGCGUGAAUUGACUAAUGGCAAAACAAUUACAAAUAAAUGCAUUGUUAAAACUGUAUCUUUUGUCAAAAGGAAUGAAAAUUCCGAUGUCAUGAGCACAUUUACAAUUAUUGACUAUUUUUAAAGUAAUUAAAUACAGGAAUAGCUGGUUUUAAAUGGUGCCUGGAGCUGGGUGCCCAGCUUCUAUUUCAUGGAACUUCAGUAGAAAAUAGUAGGGCUUUUUCUGGUUUCUCUCCUUUCUGAAUAGGAGUCAGGCCUUUCCUUAUACAAUUUAUAUGAAUACACACAUAAAAUGAUUAGAAAUGUUGUCAGAUGUACCAUAUAUGGCUAGAUUUUUGUCAUCUCCUCCAGCACAUUCGUCCUUAUUUCAUAAAAGUGCAUGUGUAGUAAUACACGUGGUCCCAGAUAUUUAAACAUUCUGUAUUCUACUAAAAAUCUUUUAUUAGUCCAUAAAAUAUUGUCUUGAAUGAGAGCUACUCAGAUUAAGCCAUUAGGCUAUAGAAGUAUUAAAAUGUGAAUCAUUUUGUGUUCUAUUUAAACUGGACACUCAUAAUUUUCUAGUUCCCAAUUGAAAGUUUUUACUGGAAUGCCCCCUCAUGUAAAGACUUUCUAUUCAUCAAUCCCACCUUCAAAAUCCAAGACAGCUGCAUGACGCAUUAACAGUAAGAGAAAGCUGUAGUUUUAUACUGUUUAUUAGUACUUCUGUCUAUUUGUGUCUCAUACACAAAGUACAGUCCAACUUCUAUCUGUGGACAUGCUGCUACACAAUUUGAAUGUACCAAGUACCAUGUAAUUUAUUGUUAUGGACUGCUACAUGCUAACAAUGGCUUAAUGGCUAACCUGGUUGAAGAGCAAACCACACAUCCCCCAACCUGUGAAAUACAAAAAUAAAAAUAAUUGGAAGCAGAAAUUCCAAUUUAAAACUUAAAUGUUCUUUUUUAUAGGGUGGAAUCAGCUGAAGUGGGACAUAUUUUGGGGAGAUUUGCCAUAAAAUACCACUUAAAGAUUAUCAAACCAGUUGCGGCAAACUCUAAAUUUUAGUAUGACUAUUUUUCUGGGAAUGUUUGAAAUAGUGUACAAUUUCUCCAUGACUGACUUUUUGGAUGAGGAAGACCACCAUUCUGCUUGGUCUCCAAAUUUUCUUCUAAAUUUACCACAACUUCACAUGCAUUUUAUUUGCUUACUGAUGAAUAUAAUGUGUCCCUUUGUUACCAGUUAUUUAAUCUUUUAUCAUAACUUCCAUUAGAUUAGAAGGGACACAUGCUUAUAUCAACAGAACCAGCCUGUAUAAAUUUAUAAUACACUUCAAAAUGUUUGCCCUGCUUUUGUAUUACCAGCAUGAUAGUAUUAGUUAAGUAACUUAAUCAUGAGCAGCAGUUAAUAUUAGAAUGAAAGAUGAAAAAUUACUUUUUAACAUGGAGAAGUAUUGUUUUGUUCUAAAAUGUUUUUUUCAUUUAAACAAAUUAAGUAAAUGGUUAAGUAAAUUAAGUAUGUCAGAGUUCUGUCAGGGCUGUAAUGUUGACAAAGUGUGCUUUUUUUAGUCUAUGUGGACAUGAACACGAAUGUGUUCGUAGAUUGUUCAGAGGAGCACUCCAUUCCCACGUCCAUUAUACCAGAAAGCAAUGGACCCCACUACAUACUAUUUGAAUGAGGACAUGACAAAAGUCUUGGCAAACAUGGUUGAAGCUGGAGACUUUCACACAUUAACACUUUGUUUUAGACAGCUGCUGGGAGAACACUGAUGCCACAGGCAGUCUUGCUUGCAAAUGAGGGCUUCAGCAAAGACCAAACACUGUUUUUGAUUGACUUGAUGUGGCAGCACAUUGGGACUGAAGGCAAAGGUCUACCAAAAAUUCAAAAUGACCUGAACACACGCUUUAAAAAAGGCAAGCAGAAAGGAAUGACCUUCUGGGAGGACAACAUGAUACGGUCUUUCUUGUUCUUGAAUCAUCGGGAGUACGUGGGCCCGAAGCACUAAGACAUUGUAGAUGUUUCACAGCAUGUGCUAUCACUGUGUCCAGCCAAGCAACAACACCAAUUGCCACACCAACGUCACCUCAUAAAAAAAAGGGUGGAUUACUAGUUCAAUCAGUUCCUGCAAGAGUCAGAAGAAGCCAGUCAGCAGUGCCAUGAGGAAACUCUAACACAAAUGAAGUCAGCUCAGCAUGUUGUUGAGGGUCUGAUGACUAAAUUGUUGCACAAGCUAUAAUCUGUUGCUAUUUGGAGAAGCUUGUACUGGUCAAUGGGAAACAGCUACAUUAUUUUUAUACAUUUUAUCUGAGGCUCUCGGGACAAGGAACAUUGUUUUGGUAUAUAGCUUUUGAAAUGUGUAUACAUUUUGAAUACAAAUACUUAUGUCACAGUUUGGAUACUUUGGACAUUGUGUACUCGUUGUGCAACUUUUAACCAAUUAAAUGUAGAGCUGCUGCCAUAAGUUAUACUCAGCCAACAUAACUGUCAGGAUUCAACUAAGAAUAACUUGAGAAAGAGAGCUAAGAAAAAGGGAUGAAGAGGAGGCAUCCAGGUGAGAACAAACAGACCCUCUCUGCUCAGAAUGCAGAGACAUCAGCAACUGCUAUUUUUUUUUGUUUCUCUGAAACAGGACUAGCUCCUGAAACACUAGACACAGUGAUAAUUUCUUACAAUACAGGUUUUUCAGUCUUUCACGGAGAUCUGAGAAAAUUGUCCAGUAAAAGCAAAGGGGGAGGUAUGUGUUUUUUGUGAACAACAUGUGACAUGCAAAUGGUAAGAUUUUCUCUAAAAGCUGUACAUCUGAUUCAGAAACGAUUAAUGAUCCAAGUUUAGUCUAUUAUAUCUUCAAAAGGAAUUCUCUCUUGUUUUUUUUUGGUGUUUAUAUUCCUCUGCAAGCCAACAUGAAAAAUGCAUUGAACAAUAUGUACACCAUUAUUAUAGAAUGCGAGUGUUUACAUUCUGAAAGAUUAUUGACUAUUAUUGAGGACUUCAACAAAGCAAAUUUAAUAAACAUUUACCCUAAACUAUCAUCAGCAUGUCAUUGGGCAUUUCACCUCACUCUGUUUCCUUUGUCCUGUUUUCAUUUUGUUUUAUAUUUGUAAUUUUACCCUGGUUGCUUAUCCUAAAAUAUGUUUAUCUUCAGAAGCUAAGACUAAUUCGUAUUUAGAAUUCUGAGAUGCUGUGGUCAGUUGGCCUGCACUUACCUGACAGGACUAUAUAAGGACCUCAACCGUCUCACAUGUUUUCUGUGUCUUUAGCUAGUGUUUGCUCCUGUGCUCUUCAGACACUUUUUUGCUGUUUGAUUUUUUGUUUAAGUUUCUGCUUUGUAUUUUUUGUUUGCAGUUUAUAACUUUGCCUUUAGGACAUCAAGUUUUAGAUAUUUUGGCCAAAAAUUAUUUAUGCAUGCUUUUUUACAUUUUUCCCUGUCUUUUUGUAUUUCUGUUUUUGAGCCACGUUCUUAAGUAAUUAAUUUAUUUCUUGUUUGUUUCUGAGAAAAACAUUUGGUGUUUAUUUCCCUGUCAUGUAAUUUUUGAAGUAUUCCAUUUAUUUAUUUUUGUUUAAAUUAUUUCAUCUUUUUCAGAUUUUAGUAUUUGUGAGUUAAAAUUUGAUUUGUUAUUUGUUAUUUUUUUAUCUGUUUUCACCUUCCCAUUUUGCGAUGUAAUCAUUAUAGCUAAAAAUUUAUAAACUGGGAAGUGGGAUUUUUGUGUUCCUGACAGUAAUUUUCUUUUCUACAUCAUUGUCUGGGAGCCUUGCAUUUGCCAGUGAAACACAACAAAUUGGACACGAAAAUAUUUGUUCCCUUUUAAUAUUCUCUGUAGCUCUUUGCUUGUUGCAGACUUCUUCACAGAUGACAAUACUGUAUCAGAAAUAUAUUUUUUGCUAUUUCCUCUUCUGAAUUUUAAUCCCUUGCUUUUAAUACACCACUACCUCUUUGACUGUGCUGUUGCUGCUAGUACUAUAUAAUAAAAUAACAUACUUUUCUACUUUUCAUUUUUGACAAUAUUUCUGGCUUUUAAGAAUUUGUUAGAAUCAUUUUUGUUUUGAUUAACUUUUUAAAGAAUAUUCUUUUUUUAAUUACUUAUUUGUUGCCAUUUCAGUUAAAUAAUUAUUUCACUAUUUUCUGUAUUUGUUUUUUCAAGUGCAUCACCAUUUUGUGUUUCUGAACUUCAUAGGCACUGCCAGUUUUUGACUGGUCUCCUUGAUGUUGCAUUUUUGCUACGUACGUAAUGCCCUUGUGACUUGUGACAUGGCAGUCAUUAUAUUUAAAAUGUCCACUGUCAUUAAGCUAGUGCCUAAACCUCAGUAAAACAAAGAGAGGUAUUGCAAGAGACUAGCACUUCUACAAAUGAUACAGAUCUAUUUAGCAAGAUCUUUUAGUUUUGAAUUGUAGUUUGGUUUUGACUUAAGAUGUGGAUAGUGACUAACUCAAAAGAAAAAUGUUUAUUACACCCUUGGUUUGGUUUAUACUAUUUUUUUUUUUGUUUUCUCCUUUAAAGGAUAAUAUUUGCUCAUUUCUGUUACUCUUAGUAUUUCUAAUUUCUGUUUUACUGUAACUGCUGCAUGUUCUCAUAAACCAUUCUUGUAGACAUUAUAAAAUAUUCCUUCUUAUAAAGUAUUUUUAUUUUGAAUUUGAAAUUUCUGAAUUCCCUCAUUGGUUUAAUAAAGUUUAUCUAAUCUAAUAUAAUCCAAUGCGAAAUUGUCAUACUUUG
Molecule: long non-coding RNA, 9477 nt
Organism: Erpetoichthys calabaricus (reedfish)
Lineage: Eukaryota; Metazoa; Chordata; Cladistia; Polypteriformes; Polypteridae
Exons: 3
Source: RefSeq, a predicted model, not a curated record